ACGAACGCUGGCGGCGUGCUUAACACAUGCCAGUCGAACGGAAAGGCCCUGCUUUUGUGGGGUGCUCGAGUGGCGAACGGGUGAGUAACACGUGAGUAACCUGCCCUUGACUUUGGGAUAACUUCAGGAAACUGGGGCUAAUACCGGAUAGGAGCUCCUGCUGCAUGGUGGGGGUUGGAAAGUUUCGGCGGUUGGGGAUGGACUCGCGGCUUAUCAGCUUGUUGGUGGGGUAGUGGCUUACCAAGGCUUUGACGGGUAGCCGGCCUGAGAGGGUGACCGGCCACAUUGGGACUGAGAUACGGCCCAGACUCCUACGGAAGGCAGCAGUGGGGAAUAUUGCACAAUGGGCGGAAGCCUGAUGCAGCAACGCCGCGUGCGGGAUGACGGCCUUCGGGCUGUAAACCGCUUUCGCCUGUGACGAAGCGUGAGUGACGGUAAUGGGUAAAGAAGCACCGGCUAACUACGUG
Molecule: ribosomal RNA, 467 nt
Filed under: uncultured bacterium
Lineage: Bacteria
Description: partial 16S ribosomal RNA
Rfam family: Bacterial small subunit ribosomal RNA
Source: RNAcentral